CCUACGGGCGGCAGCAGUGAGGAAUAUUGGUCAAUGGACGAGAGUCUGAACCAGCCAAGUAGCGUGAAGGAUGACUGCCCUAUGGGUUGUAAACUUCUUUUAUAAAGGAAUAAAACGAGGCACGUGUGCCUUUUUGCAUGUACUUUAUGAAUAAGGAUCGGCUAACUCCGUGCCAGCAGCCGCGGUAAUACGGAGGAUCCGAGCGUUAUCCGGAUUUAUUGGGUUUAAAGGGUGCGUAGAUGGGUUGUUAAGACAGUUGUGAAAGGUUGCGGCUCAACCGUAAAAAUGCAAGUGAUACUGGCAGUCUUGAGUACAGUUGAGGUAGGCGGAAUGCGUGGUGUAGCGGUGAAAUGCUGAGAUAUCACGAAGAACCCCGAUUGCGAAGGCAGCUUACUAAACUGUGACUGACAUUGAUGCUCGAAAGUGUGGGUAUCAAACAGGAUUAGAUACCCUGGUAGUC
RNAcentral lists this ribosomal RNA (460 nucleotides) under uncultured bacterium. Its description in RNAcentral is "partial 16S ribosomal RNA". It matches the Rfam family "Bacterial small subunit ribosomal RNA", at positions 338 to 795 of the family's 1533-position model. The record is from RNAcentral.